GCUGCAUGGCUGUCGUCAGCUCGUGUCGUGAGAUGUUCGGUUAAGUCCGCUAACGAGCGCAACCCUCGCUGUGUGUUACAAAGUGUCACACGGAACUGCCGGUCAUAAACCGGAGGAAGGUGGGGAUGACGUCAAGUCAGCAUGGCCUUUAUAUCCUGGGCUACACACACGCUACAAUGGGAAGGGACAAUAGGUUGCGAAGCCGCGAGGCGGAGCCAAUCCAGCAAAACUUCCCUCAGUUCAGAUUGCAGGCUGCAACUCGCCUGCAUGAAGUUGGAGUUGCUAGUAAACGCAGGUCAGCCAUACUGCGUUGAAUACGUUCCCGGGGCUU
This 331-nucleotide ribosomal RNA is filed under the name uncultured Anaerolineaceae bacterium. RNAcentral describes it as "bacterial SSU rRNA". It matches the Rfam family "Bacterial small subunit ribosomal RNA", at positions 1040 to 1382 of the family's 1533-position model. Lineage: Bacteria; Bacillati; Chloroflexota; Anaerolineae; Anaerolineales; Anaerolineaceae. The record is from RNAcentral.